UACGGAGAGUUUGAUCCUGGCUCAGGAUGAACGCUGGCGGCGUGCCUAAUACAUGCAAGUCGAACGAGGCCCUUUGUAUUCGUACAAAGGUGUCCUAGUGGCGAACGGGUGAGUAACACGUAGGUGACCUGCCCCGAAGAGGGGGACAACCCCGGGAAACUGGGGCUAAUACCCCAUAACCUCCAGGGAGUUAGAGGGCCCUGGAGAAAAGGAGCAAUCCGCU
RNAcentral lists this ribosomal RNA (223 nucleotides) under Anaerolineae bacterium. Its description in RNAcentral is "partial 16S ribosomal RNA". It matches the Rfam family "Bacterial small subunit ribosomal RNA", at positions 1 to 219 of the family's 1533-position model. Lineage: Bacteria; Bacillati; Chloroflexota; Anaerolineae. The record is from RNAcentral.